RNAcentral lists this unclassified non-coding RNA (224 nucleotides) under uncultured fungus. RNAcentral's name for it is "sequence contains ITS1, 5.8S rRNA gene". The stretch from base 176 to 224 matches the Rfam family "5.8S ribosomal RNA", at positions 1 to 49 of the family's 154-position model. The record is from RNAcentral. Lineage: Eukaryota; Fungi.
UCUCCGUAGGUGAACCUGCGGAGGUAUUAUUACUGAGUGAGGGCUCACGCCCGACCUCCAACCCUUUGUGAACACAUCUUGUUGCUUCGGGGGCGACCCUGCCUUUCGGGCAGUGCGCCCCCGGAGGAUAUCAAAACGCUGCAUCUUUGCGUCGGAGUUUAAGUAAAUUAAACAAAACUUUCAACAACGGAGCUCUUGGUUCUGGCAUCGAUGAAGAACGCAGC